UAGGGAAUCUUCGGCAAUGGACGAAAGUCUGACCGAGCAACGCCGCGUGAGUGAAGAAGGUUUUCGGAUCGUAAACUCUGUUGGUAGAGAAGAACGUUGGUGAGAGUGGAAAGCUCAUCAAGUGACGGUAACUACCCAGAAAGGGACGGCUAACUACGUGCCUG
Molecule: ribosomal RNA, 164 nt
Filed under: uncultured bacterium
Lineage: Bacteria
Description: partial 16S ribosomal RNA
Rfam family: Bacterial small subunit ribosomal RNA
Source: RNAcentral